Molecule: ribosomal RNA, 238 nt
Filed under: uncultured bacterium
Lineage: Bacteria
Description: partial 16S ribosomal RNA
Rfam family: Bacterial small subunit ribosomal RNA
Source: RNAcentral
CGUUGUCCGGAAUCAUUGGGCGUAAAGAGCGUGUAGGCGGUCCGGUAAGUCGGCUGUGAAAGUCCAGGGCUCAACCCUGGGAUGCCGGUCGAUACUGCCGGACUAGAGUCCGGAAGAGGAGAGUGGAAUUCCCGGUGUAGCGGUGAAAUGCGCAGAUAUCGGGAAGAACACCCGUGGCGAAGGCGGCUCUCUGGGACGGUACUGACGCUGAGACGCGAAAGCGUGGGGAGCGAACAGG